UACAGAGGGGGGCAAGCGUUUGUUCGGAAUUACUGGGCGUAAAGGGCGCGUAGGCGGCCUUCUAAGUCGAACGUGAAAUCCCCCGGGCUCAACCCGGGGAACUGCGUCCGAUACUGGAAGGCUUGAAUCCGGGGAGAGGUGAGUGGAAUUCCGAGUGUAGAGGUGAAAAUUCGUAGAUAUUCGGAAGAACACCAGUGGCGAAGGCGGCUCACUGGACCGGUAUUGACGCUGAGGUGCGAAAGCGUGGGGGAGCAAACAGG
RNAcentral lists this ribosomal RNA (260 nucleotides) under uncultured bacterium. RNAcentral's name for it is "partial 16S ribosomal RNA". It matches the Rfam family "Bacterial small subunit ribosomal RNA", at positions 524 to 776 of the family's 1533-position model. The record is from RNAcentral.